CUUGUCCCUGAUGUUACGGCGGACGGGUGAGUACACGUGGGUACCUGCCUGUAAGACUGGGAUAACUCCGGGAAACCGGGGCUAAUACCGGAUGCUUGUUUGAACCGCAUGGUUCAAANAUAAAAGGUGGCUUCGGCUACCACUUACAGAUGGACCCGCGGCGCAUUAGCUAGUUGGUGAGGUAACGGCUCACCAAGGCAACGAUGCGUAGCCGACCUGAGAGGGUGAUCGGCCACACUGGGACUGAGACACGGCCCAGACUCCUACGGGAGGCAGCAGUAGGGAAUCUUCCGCAAUGGACGAAAGUCUGACGGAGCAACGCCGCGUGAGUGAUGAANGUUUUCGGAUCGUAAAGCUCUGUUGUUAGGGAAAAACAAGUACCGUUCGAAUAGGGCGGUACCUUGACGGUACCUAACCAGAANGCCCNGCUAACUACGUGCCAGCAGCCCGGUAAUACGUAGUGG
Molecule: ribosomal RNA, 464 nt
Filed under: Bacillus sp. enrichment culture clone A5g
Lineage: Bacteria; Bacillati; Bacillota; Bacilli; Caryophanales; Bacillaceae
Description: bacterial SSU rRNA
Rfam family: Bacterial small subunit ribosomal RNA
Source: RNAcentral